RNAcentral lists this ribosomal RNA (497 nucleotides) under uncultured bacterium. RNAcentral's name for it is "partial 16S ribosomal RNA". It matches the Rfam family "Bacterial small subunit ribosomal RNA", at positions 28 to 507 of the family's 1533-position model. The record is from RNAcentral.
GAUGAACGCUGGCGGCGUGCCUAAUACAUGCAAGUCGAGCGAACGGACGAGAAGCUUGCUUUUCUGAUGUUAGCGGCGGACGGGUGAGUAACACGUGGAUAACCUACCUAUAAGACUGGGAUAACUUCGGGAAACCGGAGCUAAUACCGGAUAAUAUUUUGAACCGCAUGGUUCAAAAGUGAAAGACGGUCUUGCUGUCACUUAUAGAUGGAUCCGCGCUGCAUUAGCUAGUUGGUAAGGUAACGGCUUACCAAGGCAACGAUGCAUAGCCGACCUGAGAGGGGGGUUGGCCCCACCUGGACUGAGACACGGGCCCAACUCCUACCGGAGGGAGCCAGAGGGAAUCUUUCCCAAAGGGCGAAAGCCUGACGGAGCAACGCCGCGUGAGUGAUGAAGGUCUUCGGAUCGUAAAACUCUGUUAUUAGGGAAGAACAUAUGUGUAAGUAACUGUGCACAUCUUGACGGUACCUAAUCAGAAAGCCACGGCUAACUACGUG